Long non-coding RNA from Magnolia sinica, 1106 nucleotides. RefSeq lists it as uncharacterized. The transcript has 2 exons. The record is from RefSeq and is a predicted model, not a curated record. NCBI's taxonomy places the organism in Eukaryota, Viridiplantae, Streptophyta, Magnoliopsida, Magnoliales, Magnoliaceae.
AAGACAAAUAUCAGUUUGAUCCAAGACUUGUGGGUCCCAAGAAGUUUUCAAUGAUAAGCAUUCAAUCCCCACUGCUUUAUGUGGUGUGGUCCACUUGAGCUUUACAUCUGUCUUAUUUUUUCAGUCCAUACCCUAAAAUGAUAAUCUAAAAUGGAUGGACGAUGUGGAUAUAACACAUACAUUAUGGUGGGCCCUACAGAACCUGGUGACGUCAACGCACCACAUAGGUAAUCAGCAUCGGAGAAAAUGAUAAAAUGUUGAUAAAGUGAGGAUGUGUCACAUCAUGCGCAUGUUAGCAUCAUCCAGAAGUAUGGUAUAUAGUCUUCCUCCCUCCACGCAAGAAAAGAAAAAGAAGUGAAGCGUGAUUGGAUGGUAUUGCUGUUGAGUGGGAGACAAGUGCAACCCAUAUUGCUAGCUCCUUUUGCAGCAAGUCAAAAAGGGCAGUGAAAAGGGCAAGCGACAAGCAUGAGCUAAUAACCUCAAUACACCCCACUACACCAUACAAUCCGUACAACUCCAUGCAUGCUCAUGCAUCCCCCACCACCCUCUCUCUCUUCUCUCUCACAAAUUCAAAACUAAAGGAUUCUCUCUCCAAACCAUUCUUCUAUAAAUACACCUCCCUCUCACUCUCUCUCUCGACAUAUAUAUACAUAUCUGUUGGUUUCUCAGAGGCUUUAUUAUAGAGCAAUUUUGGCAUUCUGUCCACCUCCAUCACAAAAUAUCAGCACCACCAACACCAACCUUUUAUUUUAUAGUUUGGAGGCGGCCAGUAUGCCAAGAAAGCUCUGUAAAUUUCGCUCUGAGAAACCUCCGCGAUGAGAAAAGAACUGUAGUAUGGAUGAUUGGAGUAAGAUCGGUUGAGAUAGUUUGGAGUUUGGAUGGGUGCGCUGGGAUUGAAUCCUUCAACUCAACAUUGCAACAGUUGGACCAUUGGAACUAAGAUAAGUCCCAACGACAUGCAACCACUUUCUACGCUAUUUCGGAGACACCAUUUUUCUAUGAUGGAUUGAUUCCAUUCUCUUUUCUUUCCUUUAAUUUUUAAUUUUUUUUCCUGAUGUGACUAUAUAUGGGAUCCUAACAUGACCACCCAUUCAGUUCAAACGGUA